AAGCAUAUCAAUAAGCGGAGGAAAAGAAACCAACAGGGAUUGCCCUAGUAACGGCGAGUGAAGCGGCAACAGCUCAAAUUUGAAAUCUGGCGUCUUUGGCGUCCGAGUUGUAAUUUGCAGAGGGCGCUUUGGCAUUGGCAGCGGUCCAAGUUCCUUGGAACAGGACGUCACAGAGGGUGAGAAUCCCGUACGUGGUCGCUAGCCUUUACCGUGUAAAGCCCCUUCGACGAGUCGAGUUGUUUGGGAAUGCAGCUCUAAAUGGGAGGUAAAUUUCUUCUAAAGCUAAAUACUGGCCAGAGACCGAUAGCGCACAAGUAGAGUGAUCGAAAGAUGAAAAGCACUUUGGAAAGAGAGUUAAAAAGCACGUGAAAUUGUUGAAAGGGAAGCGCUUGCAGCCAGACUUGCCUGUAGUUGCUCAUCCGGGUUUCUACCCGGUGCACUCUUCUAUAGGCAGGCCAGCAUCAGUUUGGGCGGUUGGAUAAAGGUCUCUGUCAUGUACCUCCUUUCGGGGAGAACUUAUAGGGGAGACGACAUGCAACCAGCCUGGACUGAGGUCCGCGCAUCUGCUAGGAUGCUGGCGUAAUGGCUGUAAGCGGCCCGUCUUGAAACACGGACCAAGGAGUCUAACAUCUAUGCGAGUGUUUGGGUGUCAAGCCCGAGCGCGUAAUGAAAGUGAACGGAGGUGGGAACCUUUCGGGGUGCACCAUCGACCGAUCCUGAUGUCUUCGGAUGGAUUUGAGUAAGAGCAUAGCUGUUGGGACCCGAAAGAUGGUGAACUAUGCUUGAAUAGGGUGAAGCCAGAGGAAACUCUGGUGGAGGCUCGCAGCGGUUCUGACGUGCAAAUCGAUCGUCAAAUUUGGGCAUAGGGGCGAAAGACUAAUCGACUAUCUAGUAGCUGGU
Molecule: ribosomal RNA, 900 nt
Filed under: Leptosphaeria australis
Lineage: Eukaryota; Fungi; Ascomycota; Dothideomycetes; Pleosporales; Leptosphaeriaceae
Description: eukaryotic LSU rRNA
Rfam family: Eukaryotic large subunit ribosomal RNA
Source: RNAcentral